RNAcentral lists this ribosomal RNA (615 nucleotides) under Leistus spinibarbis. Its description in RNAcentral is "SSU rRNA". It matches the Rfam family "Eukaryotic small subunit ribosomal RNA", at positions 13 to 604 of the family's 1831-position model. The record is from RNAcentral. Lineage: Eukaryota; Metazoa; Arthropoda; Insecta; Coleoptera; Carabidae.
CCUGCCAGUAGUCAUAUGCUUGUCUCAAAGAUUAAGCCAUGCAUGUCUCAGUACAAGCCAAAUUAAGGUGAAACCGCGAAAGGCUCAUUAAAUCAGUUAUGGUUCCUUAGAUCGUCCACACAUUUACUUGGAUAACUGUGGUAAUUCUAGAGCUAAUACAUGCAAACAGAGCUCCGACCAGAGAUGGAAGGAGUGCUUUUAUUAGAUCAAAACCAAUCGGCGGCAGGCACUUGUGUCUGUUCGUCGCCCUACUUGGUGACUCUGAAUAACUUUAUGCUGAUCGCACGGUCUUGCACCGGCGACGCAUCUUUCAAAUGUCUGCCUUAUCAACUGUCGAUGGUAGGUUCUGCGCCUACCAUGGUUGUAACGGGUAACGGGGAAUCAGGGUUCGAUUCCGGAGAGGGAGCCUGAGAAACGGCUACCACAUCCAAGGAAGGCAGCAGGCGCGCAAAUUACCCACUCCCGGCACGGGGAGGUAGUGACGAAAAAUAACGAUACGGGACUCAUCCGAGGCCCCGUAAUCGGAAWGAGUACACUUUAAAUCCUUUAACAAGGACCAAUUGGAGGGCAAGUCUGGUGCCAGCAGCCGCGGUAAUUCCAGCUCCAAUAGCGUAU